GUGGAGUUUUCUUUUUCCUUUCAGCUGUGGUUUUGUGGUGCUUACCAACCCCCGUGAGAAAAGGGGGCUUCUCCAGAGCUUUACUCAGAACUACCUCCUUUCCCAACCAAACCCUAUUCAUAGUUCUUCCUAGUAGUAGCUUCCCUGACUGUCAAAGCACUACCAAGUCUCAUGUCUCUUUAGUAGACCCUUAAGACCAAUAGUAUAUGUUUCUUAACUUAAUCCUUUAUUCUCCAUGCUCUCCUUUGGAUCUUCCCUUCUAAGCCAGGUUUUAGACAGAUAAUGUUUUUGCCUAGUGGCGUGAAAGGGGAGCAAGGAUAAUGAGAGAGCAGAGCAAAAGUCUAAACACCAGUCUAAAACACCAGAGAAUGAGUUAAGGGAUGAGGGCAAAAGCUUUCUUAGAAAGGAUGUCAGAGCAUACCAUUUUGGGCUGGAUAAAAGUACUCAAGAACCUACAGUCAAGGUGAAAACCCAGAUUGACAGAACAGGUCUAUCUUCACCUUGGGAAAAGGAACUAGAGAAAUUAAGUCUAACAAAAAUGGCAUUAGAAAGCUAACUUUAUACAACCCAUUUGAAUGGUCCCCCUUCGGCUUAAUUGAUUGUAGAUUGAAUCUUAGUUUAAUCUGAAUUGUCCUUUCCAAGCAAGACAAAAUAAAACAGCUAUGUAUCUUUGUGUCUCUUGUACUUUUCUGCCUUAAUCAUCCCAAAGCAAGUUAUUUAGCUGUUCUUUCUAAUGCUUUCUAAAGAAAUUGUUAAAGACACCAAUCAGCAAAACUGGAAAUCCCCCAAUACACAAAAAUAUAAGUAAAAGUACCUUUUCUUUACAGAUUUACUUAGUUGUAUUUCUUCAAAAAAUAUAUGGUCUCUGUUAAGUAAGUAUCUGUAAAUAGAAUUUUUACUACUUAGCAGAAAUCAGCACUGGAUAGGAACAGCCAUGUUGAUGGUUUAAAACAAGUCAGAGAACUUAAGGAUUUUUCUCUGGCUUUUCCUUCUGUGCAUUAGUUUUAAAGCACAGAGUUCACCCGUCACCACACCACCACUAUCAUUCCUUGUAAACAAUUCUUCAUAUAGCUUUUAAAUAAACUAAGUUUUAUGGCAUGAAACUCUCCCGUGGUGACUGAUACCCCUAUAUUUCUAAUGGGUAUAUAGUCUAGGCGGAAUAAAUUGGAUUAAAUAAAUAAUAAUUGAACUUUCCCUCAUAUCCCCUUAUAACCUAAUGCAGGUGAGUUCUUGGUCUUUGAAGUUUUGGGAUUUCCAAACCAGAGCUGAUCAUAUGGCCACUGGUUUUGAAACUGUGGGAGCCUGUAGAAAAGAAAAUCUGUUGUUUAUCCAGUCUGUUUUUAAAAUUUGUCUUUAGUUAAUGGUGAUUAUAUUAUUUGAAGAUUUUCUUUCCCAUUAAUGCUUUUGAGCAGAGAGUCAUAUUACUUGAACUUUCAAGCCUCUUCUUUCCUAUGUGGAGGAAAUAAACUUUCAGAGAAAUCUAUCUUAUAAUGCUUGUUGUAGGUACAGAUCCCCUAGUUGACUCAGGUUUCUUGAUCCCGCAUGGACCUUAAUCUUCCGAUAGCCUCUUACUCUCACCAUCCCUUGCAAUCUCAGCAGUAUAUGCAAAGUGAUUAGUGGAAAUUGGGGUGUGAUCUUUGAUGAUCUCAAUACUAGACAAGAUUAAUUUAAAGCUUGUGUUAGAGUGGAGAGCUCCCAGCUAUUGUGAUCUUUACUAGAGUACUACCUUCUUCUGGCAGUGGUAUGAAAAAAAAAAAUGUAUUCACACUAAGCUUUUCUUUAAAAAAAGUAGACUUGAUGUUCUUAGGUUGAUGAGAAAGGACCCCCCGAACGUGGCAGGACCUGUGUAUAGAGUUUGCCUGGUCUUCAUGCUGUAACAAUUCUUCUAAUUGAUGCCAUUGUUGACUGAUGGAAAGUGGGUGGUUCCAUUUCCCUUCUGUGAGCCGUAGUGUUACCCUACAACUGUAACAGUAUCUGUGCUUUCAUUGGAAAGGUAAUUAUUCAGAUUUGUUUAAGCUUUAUAGCCUUGCCUCAAGUUUCAUAUCUUCUCAAAAACUCUGAUUUUUAUACCUCAGUAUCUUUUUCAUAUCGUAUGAUUAAAAAUUUUGCUCAUCUUGACCCCAUUUUAGUUUGUCCCUGUAAUAAUGAUCCAUAAAUUGUGCUCUUGCCAGGAGCAUUAAAACCCAUAUCACAGUGGUCCACACAAAAAUUGAAAUAAGUACUUUAAAAGAAAAUACUGUAUGGCCCAUGUAAUUUAUGAAUACGUAUGGAACAUCCUGAAAGAUAACACAUAAUUGUCACAGAAUUGGCUGACUGUAUCCAAGGAAGCUAAACUUGGGUGGACAGUGACUUCUAAACAGACUUGGGGCUGUAAAGUUAACAUCCAUCAUCACACUAAGUAUCUGAAGUCAAAGAAAGUGGGGGUGGGUACCUUUACAAGUGCUCUUUCUCCUUUAAUUGAAUUUCACACAUGCAUUUUAAAGAGCUUUUUUCCAUUAAACUUGGACACUGGUUGGUAUCCAGGAGGUCUUCCAGAAUUAUAUCUGACUCAUAAGUGUUUUAGUCCAUUCUGAAAGUUGAUUCCCAUAACUUUGCGUUGUGGACACCUAGUGUUUUUUCUGUUUAUAGUUUCACAGACUUACCAGAGCCUGGGCUCACCAAACCAGUCCUAAGAAUUAGAAUGAAUUUCAGUAUAUUUAGAGGUAAUUCUACAGGUUUGAAGUGUUUGCUUGUGUUUUAAUCACUUAACUAAAUUCUUUAGAAAUAUUGUGGCUUCUUUUGUGGUGCUCUUGCAAAAAUUCUUCUUUCCUGGGUGAAAAGAUAGGUGCCAUAAGAUUGUAUUAAAAACUGCAGUUGAGGAGUGCUUGGGUUGCUCAAUCAGUUAGGCAUCCAACUCUUGGUUUCGUCUCAGUUCAUGAUCUCAUGGGUUAUGAAAUCGAGCCUCAUAUGGGUCUCCCUGCUCAGCAGGGAGUCUGGGUGGAAUUCUCUCUCUCCCUCUCCCUUUGCCCCUCCCCGCUCGCUUUUGCUCUCGUUCUUUCUCUAAAUAAAUAAUAAAAUAAAAAAUAAAAACAUCUUUUAAAAAAACUACAGCUUAAAAUAAGGGUGUAAUAAGAAUGAGUUAAGAAUCUAAGGAUUUGGGGGGCGCCUGGGUGGCUCAGUUGGUUAAGCGACUGCCUUCGGCUCAGGUCAUGAUCCUGGAGUCCCGGGAUCGAGUCCCGCAUCGGGCUCCCUGCUCGGCAGGGAGUCUGCUUCUCCCUCUGACCCUCCUCCCUCUCAUGUGCUCUCUCUCAUUCUGUCUCAAAUAAAUAAAUAAAAUCUUUAAAAAAAAAAAAAGAGGUAGGGCAUAAAAUGCAAAAAUCAAUAGCCUUCAUAUAGACAAACAAAAGGCUAGAGGACAUAAUGGUGGUUUUUUAAAAGUCCAUUUACAAUAGCAACAAAGAAAAAUACUUAGGGAUAAAAUUAACAGGAAAUGUACAAGAACCUAUUGGGGGAAACUAUUAACAGUCCUGAAAGACUUAAAAAGUAAACUUGAUUUUCAGAGUCCAUUGUCUCUCAUGGUUCUGAAAAACAAACUGGGGGUUCUAGAGGGGAGCGGGGUGGGAGGAUGGGUUAGCCUGGUGAUGGGUAUUAAAGAGGGCACAUUCUGCAUGGAGCACUGGGUGUUAUACGCAAACAAUGAAUCAUGGAACACUACAUCAAAAACUAAUGAUGUAAUGUAUGGUGAUUAACAUAACAAUAAAAAAGACAUGCACAUAAAAAAGUAAACUUGAACAUAACUGCUUAAUGGGUAUGGGUUUUAUUUUAGGAUGAUGGAAAUGUUUUGGAAUUAGGUAGAGGUGGUGAUUGCACAACAUUGUGAAUGUACUAAAUGUCACUGAAUUUUUCAUUUUAAAAUGGUUAAUUUAAAAAAACAAAAAAGGGGCGCCUGGGUGGCUCAGUCGUUAAGCGGCUGUCUUCAGCUUCAGGGUCCUGGGAUCGAGCCCCGCAUCAUCACACUAAGUAUCCGCGGGAAGCUGCUUCUCCCUCUCCCACUCCCCCUGCUUGUGUUCCCUCUCUCACUGUCUCUCUCUCUGUCAAAUAAAUAAAAUCUUUAAAAAAAAAAAUGUAUAAAAAAACAAAAAAAAGAAAUGGUUAAUUUUAUGUGAAUUUUACCUCAAUUGAAAAAUUAUCUUUCAGAGAUAUGUAUUAAAGUAUUUAUAGAAAAAUGGGGGGGAAAAGUAGACUUGAACAAAUGGAAAGACAUGUGCUGUCCUUGGAUGGAACAACUCAACAUUAUAGAGGAGUACAGAAGUUGAUUCUAAAUUUCACAGAAAAACAAACGUGAAAGAAUAGCUCCAAAAACACUGAAAAGGAAAACUUUGUGGAGGGACUAGUUCUACCAGACAUUAAAACAUUAUAUAAAGCCUCUAUAAUUAAAACAAACAGCAUGGCACUUGUGCAUGAAUACACAAAUAGAACUGUGGAAUAAAAUAGAAAUAGACACAAGUACCUACAGAAAUAUAGUAUAGAUAAAGGUGGCAUCUCAAAUCAUUGGGGUAAAGAUGGACUUCUUAAUAAAGGGUGCUGGGACAACUGGGUAGCUAUUUGGAAUUAGAUAAAUACCUCAUACCAUACAAAAAAGUAAACUCCAAAUGGAUUAGGAAUCUAAAUAUUUAAAAAAUGAAACAAUAUAAGUUAUAGAAGAAGAUAUGGAUGAAUUUUUCUUUAACCUUGGCAUAAGGAAAGGCUUUCUGACUAUGACACAAAAUUCAGAGGCAAUAAAAGAUUGAUACAUUUGACUGCAUAAAAUAAUGUUUUUCAUUUGCAUGACAAAAACCACCAUAUAGAAAGUCAAAAGACAGCUGAAAAACUGGGAGAAAUUUUUCACAACAUACACAGACAGAAGGAUAAUAUUCUUUGUAUGUAAAGAACUCUUAUAGAAUUGAAGGCUCUGAAAAAAAAAAUUGAGGGCUGUGUUUCCCUAUCUUUAUUUGGGAAAGAAGAAUGGGGUGGGGAUGCUGUCUAGGAGGAUGGGGUUAGGAUGGAGCAACCUAGACAACCUGUGGCUAGCAGGGAAAGACUUGGCCUGAAAAAUCAAGGUGUUACGAGAUGGCAGAUGGGGGGCGCCGGGGUGGCUCAGUUGGUUAAGCGACUGCCUUCGGCUCAGGUCAUGAUCCUGGAGUCCUGGGAUCGAGUCCCGCAUCAGGCUCCCUGCUCAGCGGGGAGUCUGUUUCUCCCUCUGACCCUCCCGCCUCUCGUGCUCUCUCUUUCUCAUGCUCUCUCUCAAAUAAAUAAAUAAAAUCUUUAAAAAAAAAAAAAAAGAUGGCAGAUGGGGUUGGCAAGGACCUGGCAUGCAGCUGUAUAGUACCUGGAGUCAGCAGCACCUACAGAUGGAUCCUGGAUGCCUCUCAAGGUUGCUCACUGGAUUUCUGGAAGGGGAAUGGCGAGCUGAGAGGUCUCAGGAGGCAGGAACCACUUCUCAAACUGGCCUCCCAGGACACAGGAGUGGAGAUGGUGGUUGGGGACAGCCCCCUGAGCCCCUGACCCUUGCUGCCAUGGAACCUCCUGCCCAUCUAGGCAGGCUCCUGGCCAACUGUAAGCUGGAGCAGUCCCACCAGCUCCCAACUUCCCCUGCCAGCGUGUCACAACACCACCACUCCCUGAAGCCAAGUGAGCCUGAAUGUGAAGUGCCCCUUUUUGGAGCAAGGAAACAGGAGGCCACUGAAGCAGGAAUUGACCUAGGAGCAGAAAUUGACCUAGAGGCAGCCAUGGGAAAAGCAGAGAUGGUGCAGUACCUGGGGCCUAAACUAGGCAGAGUCUCCAAUACCUGCAAUACCUUUGCAUAGUGCGGGAGCAGAUGGCAAGGCUCCAGCAGCUCUACUUGCAACUGCAGACCCAGAGGCCCCCAGGGGGUCGUGAAGCAGAGGGGGAAAAGGAGCCAGCCCUGGCCCUUUCACCUCCACUUUGUGCCCCAGGCAAUGAGGUGCACAGACUGCUCAGCCACACACAGGAGACCGCUUCACCCCUAAAGGUAGGGGUGCCUAGUGCCAACCCUCCCAGGCUGUUAGAGGCCCCAGCAGAGCCGCUUACAUCUUUCCAUCCUUCCAGGGACACAAGUGGGAUCUCUUCCACUGGAACAAGACCAGUCCUGCUCAACCGGAUCCUUUGGAGGAACCUGAGAUACCUUGAGUCCCCUGCCCCUCCUGAUGGCCCUGCCCCAAGGAUUGAGUCAAGGGGUGUCCCUAAAAGACCUCCAUGCCAGCCCCUCUGGAAGACCUUUAUGCCAUCAUUUGUGGUUAAGCAACAAGCAAAAACCUUUCUGUAUGCUGAGACUGGUACAGGGACAUGACGCUGGGUGGAGGGGUGUUCGGUGAAGUCUUCUUCCUCGCCCUUUUCCCUGUUGCUGCUUCAGGGCACUGCCAGGAAAAGCUGCUGGUGCUCACCCUUCUCUCUGAGGAGAGGGCUGGAUCUUUCUCCUCUGGGCAGCCUGGCAGAGGAGCCCUGGUUCCCUGAGAGGCCCCAAGGUAUGAAAUCCCUGGGCCUAGACAGUGUGAACUAGCUUAUUUAUCUGGAGUCCAUGGAGCGUGUUUGGCAUGGUGAUCUGUUGGGGCCUAGAAUAUCACAGAUGUGUAUUUAUUUAAAUGAUACAUGUAUCUUUGUGAGUCUGUCACUGUUGUGAACUGGCUGGAUCCAACCAUCUUUUCUGAAUCCUACACUCAGCAGGUUGGUCUUCUGGGGGAGGUAACUGGAAGGAUAGAACUGACCUUCAUUCCUCAGUGGGCAGUUACUAAUUUAGAGUCCUGCUUUCCUCAUACCAUCGUGGGCAGCCCCAGAACAGAGAAGGGUACUAUCUUGGGUGCCUCUGCAUGGAGUCUCUUGCCUGUGGAGCAGAGUCCCUGAAAACCAAACCUGGAAUGGAAGGGUCAGGGACAACAUGGAGAAUAGCAGAGUAAGCUUCAAGGUCGGUCUUCAGCUGCUUUGAUCUCUGAUAGCCUUUACACAUCAGAGCUGAAACCAGGGACUCAUUCUAGCUUUUAGAUCUUGACAAAAUCCCUUAACUUUUCUGAGCCAUAGCUUCCUGCUCAAUCUCCCAAAUGGUUUAAUGAUACCUGCCCUGCCUAAUUCACAGUGUUGUUAUGAAGAUAAAACAAGAUUAAACUGUUAAAAAAAAAAAAAAUGAGGAACAAAGGACCAAAAAACUCUAGUAGAAAAAUAGGAGAGACAUGGACAGACAAAUCACACACACCCCUUCAAAAAAAGCACUCGGACAUACAAAAAAAGUUUAAAGUGAUUAGAGAACUACAAAUUAAAACAACAUCAAGAUACCAUUUCUUAUCUAUCAGCCUGGCAAAUUUUUUAAAUUACAAUACCACAUUCUGUUGAUGAGACUGUGGAAAAAUACUCUUUUUUUUUUUUUAAA
RNA transcript from Mirounga angustirostris (Northern elephant seal), 7399 nucleotides. RefSeq lists it as uncharacterized. The transcript has a single exon. The record is from RefSeq and is a predicted model, not a curated record. NCBI's taxonomy places the organism in Eukaryota, Metazoa, Chordata, Mammalia, Carnivora, Phocidae.